Molecule: ribosomal RNA, 437 nt
Filed under: bacterium enrichment culture clone B03_E4_029 (37/77)
Lineage: Bacteria
Description: bacterial SSU rRNA
Rfam family: Bacterial small subunit ribosomal RNA
Source: RNAcentral
AGUUUGAUCCUGGCUCAGAUUGAACGCUGGCGGCAGGCCUAACACAUGCAAGUCGAGCGGAAACGAUGGGAGCUUGCUCCCAGGCGUCGAGCGGCGGACGGGUGAGUAACACGUGGGAAUCUGCCCAUUAGUGGGGGAUAACUCGGGGAAACUCGAGCUAAUACCGCAUAAUCCCUACGGGGGAAAGCAGGGGAUCUUCGGACCUUGCGCUGAUGGAUGAGCCCGCGUCGGAUUAGCUUGUUGGUGGGGUAAUGGCCCACCAAGGCGACNAUCCGUAACUGGUCUGAGAGGAUGGCCAGUCACACCGGGACUGAGACACGGCCCGGACUCCUACGGGAGGCAGCAGUGGGGAAUCUUGGACAAUGGGCGCAAGCCUGAUCCAGCCAUGCCGCGUGUGUGAANAAGGCCUUCGGGUUGUAAAGCACUUUCAGUAGGGA